UACAGAGGUCUCAAGCGUUGUUCGGAUUCAUUGGGCGUAAAGGGUGCGUAGGCGGCGCGGUAAGUCGGGUGUGAAAUCUCGGAGCUUAACUCCGAAACUGCAUUCGAUACUGCCGUGCUUGAGGACUGGAGAGGAGACUGGAAUUUACGGUGUAGCGGUGAAAUGCGUUGAGAUCGGAAGGAACGCCCGUGGCGAAAGCGAGGUCCUGGACGCCUACUGACGCUGAGACGCGAAAGCCAGGGGAGCGAACGGG
RNAcentral lists this ribosomal RNA (253 nucleotides) under uncultured bacterium. RNAcentral describes it as "partial 16S ribosomal RNA". It matches the Rfam family "Bacterial small subunit ribosomal RNA", at positions 524 to 776 of the family's 1533-position model. The record is from RNAcentral.